CACCAAUCAAGCCCCGGCUUGGUCUUGGGCGUCGCGGUCUCCCGCGUGCCUCAAUGUCGCCGGCUGGUGCGUCCGUCUCCGAGCGUCGUGACUUCAUUGCUCGCUUCUGGAGGUCGGACGGACUGCGCCGUCAACCCCCCAUAUCUACA
RNAcentral lists this unclassified non-coding RNA (149 nucleotides) under uncultured Teratosphaeriaceae. Its description in RNAcentral is "sequence contains ITS2". Lineage: Eukaryota; Fungi; Ascomycota; Dothideomycetes; Mycosphaerellales; Teratosphaeriaceae. The record is from RNAcentral.